UCUGCUAUAAAUUCACUCUAAGUGAACCACUUCCCCUGGCCUAUUUCACAAAGUGAGUUUUUGUUACCUUGCUGUAGCCUAUGUUGCAUCUCUCAUUUCUCUAUAAUUGCUAUGUAGAAGACGGAUUUAAGAAGAAUGAUGGAACAGUUAAUUUCAUCGGAAGUUCUGCGAGUAAUGUUGAUUGGCUCAAUAAAAUCUCCGCCUAAUUAUCAUUUGUGAAGGGAGUAUAUAAGUCGAUUUCAACGCUUAGAUUCAGAUAUGAAAGACCAUCGGAACAUUUCCAAGCUAGCUGCAUCCCGAAAGCUGUAGUGUUCAGCAGUAAAUCGAUCAAUUUAAUUGGCACGCUUUCCUUCGGGAGAGCCUCGUCGGCAUUCGAUUUACCAAUCACAUUACUCCACCGUAACGCUUCCAUAUUUAAGCGGGGUGUAAUGCCCACAGCAAGCAAUCCUUUCCGACGAGAGGAAUUUUUAAUUGCCGUCGUCUGUUCAAAGGGGGCUAUGUAUGUGUGGUAACAAAACACCCUGAUUGAGAUUAUUCGUUUAGAAUAUCAAUGCCACGUGUCGAAUUCACUUAACGUAAUUACGCCGCCUACGGUCGGCAAAUUGUGGUGGCGGAAUGAUUCGAUUGGUGUCCCAUUUUAAUUCGAUAAAAAAUCUGGCAGGGAGGUACUGCAGUCAUAUCGAUGAAAUGGAAGAAAUUGAAAAACUGUCGUCGCUCAUGAAUUCGAAGCUAAAUAGUUUGAACAGAAUUUCGUGAAAUUCUUUGAAAUGUCCAAAUAGUGAACUCAAUUCAUCGAUGAAUAAGUGAAUAUGACAGCUCAUUUGAUGGAGAGAUAUUCAUUAUAUGAUUCAUUAUGGAUUCCUAACUCAAAAAUUGGCUUCAAUUUAUCGGAUGUAAAAGCAGGCAUUGCAUUUUAUCUUAUCAGAUGAUCAUCUGAGAGAGAUACGGAUCGUAUAACAAGAUAUAAUCUUAGCACUCUUUGAUCGAUCUUUCAUCGAUAUCUCUGGUUCAUAUGAUACUAGAUAAAAUCAUUCAAACUCAGCGGUCCACGCGCCAGUAAUCAAUAUGAAAAUCAGUGACAUUAUUUGCGAGUUCACAGUGCAACCAGCGAGUACCUUUAAAACCCAAAGCAGCAAAUUUUAGGGGAAUCCAUAGCGAUUUGUAAACUACCGAGAGAAGUCCUUUGGUUUCGGAACCCCCUGAAAAUGAAUCAAUUUACCAUUAACUGGAUUCUAUCAGGACCUGGACGAUGGAAAUCUGUGCGUGAAACUACCGUUGGGCGUACGAAAAGAUCUUUAAAAUAAAUUAUAUAUUUUAUGCUUUAACCAAAAGUUCCACCAAUAAUAUACGAAAAAAAAUCUAACAACAAAAAUUGAAUUUCAUACGACGUAAUUUCGCUAUUUAUUUGAAUAGACAUUCAGAUAAACUACCUACAAAUCAGAAGUUUUACUAGAAAUCAGCCGCAUAAUUUUCAAUAAAACAAAAAAAAAUCUAUCAGUGAACGCACUAAUAAAUCUUCUCACAAGAAA
This is a long non-coding RNA of Aedes aegypti (yellow fever mosquito), 1529 nucleotides long. RefSeq lists it as uncharacterized. NCBI's taxonomy places the organism in Eukaryota, Metazoa, Arthropoda, Insecta, Diptera, Culicidae. The record is from RefSeq and is a predicted model, not a curated record. The transcript has 2 exons.